UACGUAGGGUGCAAGCGUUGUCCGGAAUUAUUGGGCGUAAAGAGCUCGUAGGCGGUGUGUCACGUCGGCCGUGAAAACCUGCAGCUUAACUGUGGGCGUGCGGUCGAUACGGGCAUCACUGGAGUUCGGCAGGGGAGACUGGAAUUCCUGGUGUAGCGGUGAAAUGCGCAGAUAUCGGGAAGAACACCCGUGGCGAAGGCGGCUCUCUGGGACGGUACUGACGCUGAGACGCGAAAGCGUGGGGAGCGAACAGG
Molecule: ribosomal RNA, 254 nt
Filed under: uncultured bacterium
Lineage: Bacteria
Description: partial 16S ribosomal RNA
Rfam family: Bacterial small subunit ribosomal RNA
Source: RNAcentral